Molecule: ribosomal RNA, 406 nt
Filed under: uncultured bacterium
Lineage: Bacteria
Description: partial 16S ribosomal RNA
Rfam family: Bacterial small subunit ribosomal RNA
Source: RNAcentral
AUUGAACGCUGGCGGCAGGCUUAACACAUGCAAGUCGAGCGAGCGGCGGACGGGUGAGUAAUGUCUGGGAAACUGGCUGCUGGAGGGGGAUAACAACUGGAAACGGUAGCUAAUAGCGCAUAACAUCAGAUGUGCCCAGAUGGGAUUAGGUAGUUGGUGAGGUAAAGGCUCACCAAGCCGACGAACUCUAGCUGUCAUGAGAGGAUGAACAGCCACUUGGGGACUGUGAUACGGCCCAGACUCCUACGGGAGGCAGCAGUGGGGAAUAGUGCGCAAUGGGGGCAACCCUGACUCAGCCAUGCCGCGUGAAUGAAGAAGGCCUUCGGGUUGUAAAGUUCUUUCGGUAGCGAGGCGUUAACUACAGAAGAAGCACCGGCUAACUCCGUGCCAGCAGCCGCGGUAAUUC